GACGAACGCUGGCGGCGUGCCUAAUACAUGCAAGUCGAGCGGAAUGAUGAAGAAGCUUGCUUCUUCUGAUUUUAGCGGCGGACGGGUGAGUAACACGUGGGCAACCUACCUUGUAGAUUGGGAUAACUCCGGGAAACCGGGGCUAAUACCGAAUAAUCCAUUUUGCUUCAUGGCGAGAUGUUGAAAGACGGUUUCGGCUGUCACUACAAGAUGGGCCCGCGGCGCAUUAGCUAGUUGGUAGGGUAAUGGCCUACCAAGGCGACGAUGCGUAGCCGACCUGAGAGGGUGGUCGGCCACACUGGGACUGAGACACGGCCCAGACUCCUACGGGAGGCAGCAGUAGGGAAUCUUCCACAAUGGACGAAAGUCUGAUGGAGCAACGCCGCGUGAGUGAAGAAGGUUUUCGGAUCGUAAAACUCUGUUGUAAGGGAAGAACACGUACGAGAGUAACUGCUCGUACCUUGACGGUACCUUAUUAGAAAGCCACGGCUAACUACGUG
RNAcentral lists this ribosomal RNA (500 nucleotides) under uncultured bacterium. RNAcentral's name for it is "bacterial SSU rRNA". It matches the Rfam family "Bacterial small subunit ribosomal RNA", at positions 28 to 507 of the family's 1533-position model. The record is from RNAcentral.